Cyprinus carpio carpio is the source of this 515-nucleotide long non-coding RNA. The record is from Ensembl. NCBI's taxonomy places the organism in Eukaryota, Metazoa, Chordata, Actinopteri, Cypriniformes, Cyprinidae.
CCUCAAGAUAAACAAAUCCAAGUGUUGUGUGGUUAAGUGUAAAAUCUGGGCAGUUCUGUGCUUCAGAAUGUGUGUGGUUUAGAAGAUAGACUCUCAUGGGGAUGUGGUGAAAUGUGUGAGUCUGACAGACAGUAGCUCAGACUUGAACUGGGCCCUGUAGCCCAGCUCUGAUUCACAGUUGAAACAUAAAUAAAAGCCACUGGCUAUUAUUUAGAGAGAAGGUGUUUUUGAAGAAAGCCUCACCCUGGGACAUGAGAUGGAGGGAGGAAGGAAGAGACAGUGCUGGGAGGGAAUCUUCAAUAAAGAAAGGGGGAAAGAAAUCUUGUGUUGUACAGCAGAUCGUCUCUCACUUGAAUUUGGUUUUCUCCUCAGGACACAGAAGACUAAAGAAAGCCAUAUGGGUUUGGAAUGAUGAGGGCUGUGUAUGGAGAUGGCGCCGCCUCCGCAGUGCAUUGACAUGCAAACCAGAUCCCACUAGAGACAUGAAGAGAAGUAUUAAACUGAGGACUGACUGA